This 484-nucleotide ribosomal RNA is filed under the name uncultured bacterium. Its description in RNAcentral is "partial 16S ribosomal RNA". It matches the Rfam family "Bacterial small subunit ribosomal RNA", at positions 30 to 507 of the family's 1533-position model. The record is from RNAcentral.
AUUGAACGCUGGCGGCAGGCCUAACACAUGCAAGUCGAGCGGAUGAAGGGAGCUUGCUCCUGGAUUCAGCGGCGGACGGGUGAGUAAUGCCUAGGAAUCUGCCUGGUAGUGGGGGAUAACGUCCGGAAACGGGCGCUAAUACCGCAUACGUCCUGAGGGAGAAAGUGGGGGAUCUUCGGACCCCACGCUAUCAGAUGAGCCUAGGUCGGAUUAGCUAGUUGGUGGGGUAAAGGCCUACCAAGGCGACGAUCCGUAACUGGUCUGAGAGGAUGAUCAGUCACACUGGAACUGAGGCACGGUCCAGGCUCCUACGGGAGGCAGCAGUGGGGAAUAUUUGACAAAGGGCGAAAGCCUUGUCCAGCCAUGCCGCGUGUGUGAAGAAGGGCUUCGGAUUUUAAAGCACUUUAAGUUGGGAGGAAGGGCAGUAAGUUAAUACCUUGCUGUUUUGACGUUACCAACAGAAUAAGCACCGGCUAACUUCGUG